RNAcentral lists this ribosomal RNA (497 nucleotides) under uncultured bacterium. RNAcentral describes it as "partial 16S ribosomal RNA". It matches the Rfam family "Bacterial small subunit ribosomal RNA", at positions 28 to 507 of the family's 1533-position model. The record is from RNAcentral.
GAUGAACGCUGGCGGCGUGCCUAAUACAUGCAAGACGAGCGAACAGACGAGGAGCUUGCUCCUCUGACGUUAGCGGCGGACGGGUGAGUAACACGUGGAUAACCUACCUAUAAGACUGGGAUAACUUCGGGAAACCGGAGCUAAUACCGGAUAAUAUAUUGAACCGCAUGGUUCAAUAGUGAAAGACGGUUUUGCUGUCACUUAUAGAUGUAUCCGCGCCGCAUUAGCUAGUUGGUAAGGUAACGGCUUACCAAGGCAACGAUGCGUAGCCGACCUGAGAGGGUGAUCGGCCACACUGGAACUGAGACACGGUCCAGACUCCUACGGGAGGCAGCAGUAGGGAAUCUUCCGCAAUGGGCGAAAGCCUGACGGAGCAACGCCGCGUGAGUGAUGAAGGUCUUCGGAUCGUAAAACUCUGUUAUUAGGGAAGAACAAAUGUGUAAGUAACUAUGCACGUCUUGACGGUACCUAAUCAGAAAGCCACGGCUAACUACGUG